GGAAAAUUAUCGAUACAGGUGGGACGUCUAGACUUCAAAUCGAGGAAAGGCUAUUAAACAAUCCUUAGUGGGUUCGACUCCCAUAUUUUUCC
RNAcentral lists this transfer RNA (92 nucleotides) under Polynucleobacter kasalickyi. RNAcentral's name for it is "Polynucleobacter sp. VK13 Selenocysteine transfer RNA". It matches the Rfam family "Selenocysteine transfer RNA". Lineage: Bacteria; Pseudomonadati; Pseudomonadota; Betaproteobacteria; Burkholderiales; Burkholderiaceae. The record is from Rfam by way of RNAcentral.